This 252-nucleotide ribosomal RNA is filed under the name uncultured bacterium. RNAcentral's name for it is "partial 16S ribosomal RNA". It matches the Rfam family "Bacterial small subunit ribosomal RNA", at positions 1234 to 1500 of the family's 1533-position model. The record is from RNAcentral.
CCGGUACAAUGCGAAGCGAAGCAGUGAUGUGAAGCAAAUCGCACCAAAGCCGGUCCCAGUUCGGAUAAGAGGCUGAAACUCGCCUCUUUGAAGUCGGAAUCGCUAGUAAUCGCAGAUCAGCAUGUUGCGGUGAAUACGUUCCCGGGUCUUGUACACACCGCCCGUCAAACCAUGAGAGUCACCAACACCCGAAGUCCGCUUUGGCGGCCUAAGGUGGGGGAGAUGAUUGGGGUUAAGUCGUAACAAGGUAGC